This 318-nucleotide ribosomal RNA is filed under the name uncultured eukaryote. RNAcentral describes it as "partial 18S ribosomal RNA". It matches the Rfam family "Eukaryotic small subunit ribosomal RNA", at positions 1470 to 1796 of the family's 1831-position model. The record is from RNAcentral.
CCCUUAGAUGUCCUGGGCCGCACGCGUGCUACACUGACGCAUACAGCGAGCACUUUCCAGUUCCGAGAGGCUACUGGUAAUCAUCAAUAUGCGUCGUGAUGGGGAUAGAUCUUUGGAAUUCUGGAUCUUGAACGAGGAAUGCCUAGUAAUCGCAGGUCACUAGCCUGCGAUGAUUAAGUCCCUGCCCUUUGUACACACCGCCCGUCGCUACUACCGAUUUCGAGUGGUCAGGUGAAUCUUUCGGACUGUGGGCGCCCUUGAGGUGUUCGCGGAAAGUCAGGUAAAUCUUAUCACUUAGAGGAAGUAAAAGUCGUAACA